CUAUUUGUUGCAUGUUUAACAUCCUACUGUAAUUAGAGUUCAUAGAUUAUUCAAGUUGAAGUAGAGUGGUUGUGUAUUGCAAUGACAGCUAAAGUUUUAUGUCAAACAACCACAUUUUGACAGCUGUGAAGUGUUCUUGACGUGCACUUCAGUCCCAUAAGGCCACGUGCUCAAAAGUAUUAGUACAGUACAGUAUCCACGUGUUUUGCCAGCGUGAUGUCGGAUCAGAAAGAAGACCGUAAUAAUGACCAGGACGACGACUUUCAGCCGCCAACAAAGAUGAGACGCAUUGGUUCCAAAAAGCUUACCACUAGUACUAGCCAGCUUGACAGCAGAUUUGCUGAAAAGAGAAUACGGACAAAGUACACGAGUACAGCAAGGGUACGAUUUGCAAGAACACUGUCUGCAACAGUUGGGUGAAGUGAAUAUUUGAAGGUACCGACAGACAUACUUUCUCUCAACGAAGGAUUCGCAACUAGAUGCAGCCAAACCACAGACGGAUUGUCAAAAAGUCUGUUACAUUUACGUUGAGCACGGAUCCAAAAAUCAUAGUGGUGGACUAAGUGAUUUACGGCAUCCAAACAAAAAUGUCACAAGAUACGCUAAUGAAGAAGCUGGUGACCGUUGCCACGUAAAAAUUUUGGAUCUCUAUCUUAGUAAGUUGCCAGCAGGAUUUUCUCGAGAAGCCUUCUAUUAUAAACCUUUGUCGUCUACUCCUUCAUUUGGUCCUUGGUAUUCGAAGCAAGUAAUCGGUCAUAACACGUUGGCUACAAUGAUGAAAGUGAUGACAGCUGAAGCUGGUCUUCCAGUUCGAACCAACCCCGCUCUUCGAGCUACUAGUGCGACAAGGCUGUUUCAAGCGGGAGUUCCUGAACAUGUAAUUCAAGGCAGAACCGGCCACAAAACCUUGCAAGCACUGAGACAAUAUCAAGAGCCAUCUGAAUUGCAGCAAAUGGCAGCGUGCAAGGUUUUGGACAAUGGCCAUGGACACACCGAUCACACUGACGCAAAAGUCAAGGAGUCCGGAGAGACAACGGAACAGGCAGAUGAGCUGAAAGUAGUCGAGGUUGAACAGCCGUCUGAAACGGGAAGACAGAAUCCGGCGCCAUUUGUCAUUUCUGACUGCGUCUUUACAAACUGCAGUACUGUGAACAUUAUUAUUGGUAAAGAAUAAGCUUGUAAUCUAAAAUAGGUAUGCCCAUGUAUUGAUUGCUAGUUGGUUUGCAGUAUACAGAUUCUGACCGGUCAAUAUACGUUUAUUGACCACAGGUCAAUAUACGUUUAUUGACCACAGGUCAAUAUACGUUUAUUGACCGGUCAAUAAACGUUUAUUGACCUGUCAAUAUACAACAUGUGGUUGGGUUGCUAUGGUAGGAGUGUA
Molecule: long non-coding RNA, 1381 nt
Organism: Corticium candelabrum
Lineage: Eukaryota; Metazoa; Porifera; Homoscleromorpha; Homosclerophorida; Plakinidae
Exons: 3
Source: RefSeq, a predicted model, not a curated record